GUGUUCUAUAUCUGUCACAUCAAACCACAUGUCCAAUCCCAAGAAAAUGAAGGAACAGAUCUAAUGAUCUAUAUAAAAAUUGUCAUAAGUAUUCUAAAAGAGUCUAUACUGAAUAAAGACUUCAUCCGAUAGACCCAAACAUAGACGAACACAACCAGCUGAUCGAGGACCAAGGCGUGAGCUGAGACGAUAAACACUCUCUUCAACUUGAAUAUCUUCUCCAUAUGAGAAAACAAUAUCUUGAAAAGUGAGCAAAGAAGCUAUUGCUAGUCAUUGGAUUCAUAUCUACUACAAAACCUAUACGUUACAGCCAUUGAUAAUACUACUCAAGAUUUGACUCCUUUUCCAUUUAUUAAAAAUGAAACUGUGUCUACCCAGAAUUUGCUCUUAAUUCCCUCUGUUUGAAAAAAAAAAUCAUUCGAAUAA
This is a non-coding RNA of Lactuca sativa (garden lettuce), 426 nucleotides long. The record is from RefSeq and is a predicted model, not a curated record. Lineage: Eukaryota; Viridiplantae; Streptophyta; Magnoliopsida; Asterales; Asteraceae.